AAUAACCAAAGAUGAUACUCGGGCUAAGGGUCAAGUUAGUAAUUUUUCUUACACCUACCCCUCCCGGAGUCCAGGUGUCGUAUGCGCCCCCAAAAUAAAAAGCUUGAAUACUAGAAGACUUCUGUUCCUACAAGAGAAACAGAUUAGGAAAAAUACUUGAGAAAAAUAAAAGCACAAAUUAGAACUAGUUUUAAUACAAGUUGAAGUCUUCCA
RNAcentral lists this antisense RNA (213 nucleotides) under Nicotiana sylvestris (wood tobacco). Its description in RNAcentral is "Antisense RNA which regulates isiA expression". It matches the Rfam family "Antisense RNA which regulates isiA expression". Lineage: Eukaryota; Viridiplantae; Streptophyta; Magnoliopsida; Solanales; Solanaceae. The record is from Rfam by way of RNAcentral. RNAcentral also lists the same sequence under 1 other name.